UUGGGUGGAAGCUAUAUCGGCUCCCUUGAUUUGAUCUUGCCCUCUAAUGCCGGUUGCUCUCCCUACCCCCUGAGUCAAGGGGACUUCUGUUUGGGCCAAUCAAUUGAGUCCAGACUCUAUCGAAGUACCUAUCGGGCAGAGGGAGGGUGCACCCUCAUUUUUUACAGAUGCGACCCUCGAGGAUUGGAAGAUCACUCACUGCAUAAUUGAGGGGAUUUUCAUCAAUGCUAAUCUAGACAAGAUUGAGGAGCUAAGCAUUGGGAGAUGAUAGGGGGAGGUUGUGACCUCCUUCGUUUAGGUGAAUCCAUUUUCUUCUCUUUUGUUUUAACUCCUUUCUUCUCUUUUUUCAUCCUUGGUGGUUGACUCUUCCCUUUCUUGGAUAUAGC
This 386-nucleotide long non-coding RNA is filed under the name Elaeis guineensis (African oil palm). RNAcentral's name for it is "long non-coding RNA (EGUI_LNC061503)". Lineage: Eukaryota; Viridiplantae; Streptophyta; Magnoliopsida; Arecales; Arecaceae. The record is from RNAcentral.